RNAcentral lists this ribosomal RNA (468 nucleotides) under uncultured Curtobacterium sp. Its description in RNAcentral is "bacterial SSU rRNA". It matches the Rfam family "Bacterial small subunit ribosomal RNA", at positions 916 to 1381 of the family's 1533-position model. Lineage: Bacteria; Bacillati; Actinomycetota; Actinomycetes; Micrococcales; Microbacteriaceae. The record is from RNAcentral.
GACGGGGCCCGCACAAGCGGCGGAGCAUGCGGAUUAAUUCGAUGCAACGCGAAGAACCUUACCAAGGCUUGACAUACACCGGUAACGCCCAGAGAUGGGUGCCCCUUUGUGGUCGGUGGACAGGUGGUGCAUGGUUGUCGUCAGCUCGUGUCGUGAGAUGUUGGGUUAAGUCCCGCAACGAGCGCAACCCUCGUCCUAUGUUGCCAGCGGGUCAUGCCGGGGACUCAUGGGAGACUGCCGGGGUCAACUCGGAGGAAGGUGGGGAUGACGUCAAGUCCUCAUGGCCUUUAUGACCAGGGCUACACACGUACUACAAUGGCCGGUACAAAGGGCAGCGACACAGCGAUGUGAAGCCAAUCCCGAAAAGCCGGUCUCAGUCCGGAUUGGAGUCUGCAACUCGACUCCAUGAAGUUGGAAUCGCUAGUAAUCGCGGAUCAGCACGCCGCGGUGAAUACGUUCCCGGGCCUU